UUAAACGGCCGCGGUAUCAUAACCGUGCAAAGGUAGCGUAAUCACUUGUCUCCUAAAUAGAGACCCGUAUGAAUGGCUAACUGAGGGCCCAACUGUCCCUUUUACCCAAUCAAUGAAACUGAUCUUUCAGUACAAAAGCUGAAAUACUACCACAAGACGAGAAGACCCUGUGGAGCUUUAAACCUACUACUAUUGACACCCCCCAAAUAGUAUAAAUUUUAAGUUGGGGCGACUACGGAGAAAAAAGAACCCUCCACGACAAAUGGUUAACCCCCACAACCAAGGCCCACAAGCCAAACAAUGCUUGCUGACCCAGUAACACUGCAAAUCGAACCAAGUUACCCCAGGGAUAACAGCGCCAUCUCCCUCAAGAGUCCAUAUCGCCAGGGAGGCUUACGACCUCGAUGUUGGAUCAGGACACCCCGGUGGUGCAGCCACUACCAAAGGUUCGUUUGUUCAACGAUCAACGUCCUACGUGAUCUGACUGA
RNAcentral lists this ribosomal RNA (488 nucleotides) under Pachydactylus cf. punctatus. RNAcentral's name for it is "partial large subunit ribosomal RNA". It matches the Rfam family "Bacterial large subunit ribosomal RNA", at positions 1923 to 2612 of the family's 2925-position model. Lineage: Eukaryota; Metazoa; Chordata; Lepidosauria; Squamata; Gekkonidae. The record is from RNAcentral.